This 253-nucleotide ribosomal RNA is filed under the name uncultured bacterium. RNAcentral's name for it is "partial 16S ribosomal RNA". It matches the Rfam family "Bacterial small subunit ribosomal RNA", at positions 524 to 776 of the family's 1533-position model. The record is from RNAcentral.
UACGAAGGGGGCUAGCGUUGCUCGGAUUGACUGGGCGUAAAGGGCGCGUAGGCGGUCUGUACAGUCAGGCGUGAAAUUCCUGGGCUCAACCUGGGGGCUGCGUUUGAUACGUGCAGACUAGAGUGCGGAAGAGGGUCGUGGAAUUCCCAGUGUAGAGGUGAAAUUCGUAGAUAUUGGGAAGAACACCGGUGGCGAAGGCGGCGACCUGGUCCGAUACUGACGCUGAGGCGCGAAAGCGUGGGGAGCGAACAGG